This 489-nucleotide ribosomal RNA is filed under the name uncultured bacterium. RNAcentral describes it as "partial 16S ribosomal RNA". It matches the Rfam family "Bacterial small subunit ribosomal RNA", at positions 28 to 507 of the family's 1533-position model. The record is from RNAcentral.
GACGAACGCUGGCGGCGUGCUUAACACAUGCAAGUCGAACGGUGAAGGGACCAGCUUGCUGGUUCUGGAUGAGUGGCGAACGGGUGAGUAACACGUGAGUAACCUGCCCCCUUCUUCUGGAUAACCGCAUGAAAGUGUGGCUAAUACGGGAUAUUCUGGGUCUGUCGCAUGGCGGGCCCGGGAAAGAUAUUGCUUCGGUGGGGGAUGGGCUCGCGGCCUAUCAGCUUGUUGGUGGGGUGAUGGCCUACCAAGGCGGUGACGGGUAGCCGGCCUGAGAGGGUGGACGGUCACACUGGGACUGAGACACGGCCCAGACUCCUACGGGAGGCAGCAGUGGGGAAUAUUGCACAACGGGCGCAAGCCUGAUGCAGCGACGCCGCGUGAGGGAUGGAGGCCUUCGGGUUGUAAACCUCUUUCGCCAGUGAAGCAGGCCUGCUCCUUGUGGGUGGGUUGACGGUAGCUGGAUAAGAAGCGCCGGCUAACUACGUG